UACGAAGGGUGCAAACGUUGCUCGGAAUCAUUGGGCGUAAAGCGCACGUAGGCGGCUCUGCAAGUCGGAUGUGAAAUCCCUCGGCUCAACCGAGGACGUGCAUCCGAAACUGCGGAGCUUGAGUAUGGAAGAGGGUCGCGGAAUUCCCGGUGUAGAGGUGAAAUUCGUAGAUAUCGGGAGGAACACCAGUGGCGAAGGCGGCGACCUGGGCCAAUACUGACGCUGAGGUGCGAAAGCGUGGGGAGCAAACAGG
Molecule: ribosomal RNA, 253 nt
Filed under: uncultured bacterium
Lineage: Bacteria
Description: partial 16S ribosomal RNA
Rfam family: Bacterial small subunit ribosomal RNA
Source: RNAcentral